CCGUAGGGUGAACCUGCGGAAGGAUCAUUACCGAGUGAGGGCCCUCUGGGUCCAACCUCCCACCCGUGUCUAUCGUACCUUGUUGCUUCGGCGGGCCCGCCGUUUCGACGGCCGCCGGGGAGGCCUUGCGCCCCCGGGCCCGCGCCCGCCGAAGACCCCAACAUGAACGCUGUUCUGAAAGUAUGCAGUCUGAGUUGAUUAUCGUAAUCAGUUAAAACUUUCAACAACGGAUCUCUUGGUUCCGGCAUCGAUGAAGAACGCAGCGAAAUGCGAUAAGUAAUGUGAAUUGCAGAAUUCAGUGAAUCAUCGAGUCUUUGAACGCGCAUUGCGCCCCCUGGUAUUCCGGGGGGCAUGCCUGUCCGAGCGUCAUUGCUGCCCUCAAGCACGGCUUGUGUGUUGGGCCCCCGUCCCCCUCUCCCGGGGGACGGGCCCGAAAGGCAGCGGCGGCACCGCGUCCGGUCCUCGAGCGUAUGGGGCUUUGUCACCUGCUCUGUAGGCCCGGCCGGCGCCAGCCGACACCCAACUUUAUUUUUCUAAGGUUGACCUCGGAUCAGGUAGGGAUACCCGCUGAACUUAAGCAUAUCAAUAAGCCGGAGGGAUCAUUACCGAGUGAGGGCCCUCUGGGUCCAACCU
Molecule: ribosomal RNA, 633 nt
Filed under: Aspergillus fumigatus
Lineage: Eukaryota; Fungi; Ascomycota; Eurotiomycetes; Eurotiales; Aspergillaceae
Description: eukaryotic LSU rRNA
Rfam family: 5.8S ribosomal RNA (bases 216-369)
Source: RNAcentral